Molecule: ribosomal RNA, 303 nt
Filed under: uncultured bacterium
Lineage: Bacteria
Description: partial 16S ribosomal RNA
Rfam family: Bacterial small subunit ribosomal RNA
Source: RNAcentral
AGAGUAGCCGCGGUAAUACGAAGGGUGCAAGCGUUAAUCGGAAUUACUGGGCGUAAAGCGUGCGUAGGCGGUUUGUUAAGUCUGUUGUGAAAUCCCCGGGCUCAACCUGGGAAUGGCAAUGGAUACUGGCAAGCUAGAGUGUGUCAGAGGAUGGUGGAAUUCCCAGUGUAGCGGUGAAAUGCGUAGAGAUCGGGAGGAACAUCAGUGGCGAAGGCGGCCAUCUGGGACAACACUGACGCUGAGGCACGAAAGCGUGGGGAGCAAACAGGAUUAGAUACCCCUGUAGUCCCUGUCUCUUAUACC